ACUCCAAGAAGAAUCUAGACAG
Molecule: microRNA, 22 nt
Filed under: Homo sapiens (human)
Lineage: Eukaryota; Metazoa; Chordata; Mammalia; Primates; Hominidae
Description: hsa-miR-5695
Source: miRBase by way of RNAcentral